This 985-nucleotide ribosomal RNA is filed under the name human gut metagenome. RNAcentral's name for it is "bacterial LSU rRNA". It matches the Rfam family "Bacterial large subunit ribosomal RNA", at positions 1942 to 2925 of the family's 2925-position model. The record is from RNAcentral.
AUAACGGUCCUAAGGUAGCGAAAUUCCUUGUCAGGUAAGUUCUGACCCGCACGAAAGGCGUAACGAUUUGGGCGCUGUCUCAGCUGUAGACUCGGUGAAGUCUUAGUACCUGUGAAGAUGCAGGUUACCCGCGACUAGACGGAAAGACCCCAUGGAGCUUUACUGUAGCUUGAUAUUGGACUUUGAUGCAAGAUGUACAGGAUAGGUAGGAGACUGAGAGACAUGCACGCCAGUGUGUGAGGAGUCAAUGUUGGGAUACUACUCUUCUUGUAUUGGAGUUCUAACCGGAUGCCAUGGAACUGGCAACGGGACAGUGUCAGGUGGGCAGUUUGACUGGGGCGGUCGCCUCCCAAAGAGUAACGGAGGCGCCCAAAGAUACCCUCAGCUUGGAUGGAAAUCAAGCGCAGAGUGCAAAGGCAUAAGGGUGUUUGACUGCGAGACCUACAAGUCGAGCAGGGACGAAAGUCGGGCUUAGUGAUCCGGCGGUGCUGAAUGGAAAGGCCGUCGCUCAACGGAUAAAAGCUACCCUGGGGAUAACAGGCUGAUCUCCCCCAAGAGUUCACAUCGACGGGGAGGUUUGGCACCUCGAUGUCGGCUCAUCGCAUCCUGGGGCUGAAGUAGGUCCCAAGGGUUGGGCUGUUCGCCCAUUAAAGCGGUACGCGAGCUGGGUUCAGAACGUCGUGAGACAGUUCGGUCCCUAUCUGUCGUGGGCGUAGGAAGUUUGAGAAGAUCUGUCCUCAGUACGAGAGGACCGGGAUGGACAUAUCAAUGGUGCACCAGUUGUCACGCCAGUGGCACAGCUGGGUAGCUAAAUAUGGAAGGGAUAAACGCUGAAGGCAUCUAAGUGUGAAACCCACUUCAAGAUGAGACUUCCCAUUACGCAAGUAAGUAAGACCCCUUAAAGACGAUAAGGUUGAUAGGUCAGGAGUGUAAGCAUGGCGACAUGUUCAGCGGACUGAUACUAAUAGGUCGAGGACUUAACCUA